This 484-nucleotide ribosomal RNA is filed under the name uncultured bacterium. Its description in RNAcentral is "partial 16S ribosomal RNA". It matches the Rfam family "Bacterial small subunit ribosomal RNA", at positions 28 to 523 of the family's 1533-position model. The record is from RNAcentral.
GACGAACGCUGGCGGCGUGCUUAACACAUGCAAGUCGAACGAUGAAGCCGGAGCUUGCUCUGGUGAAUUAGUGGCGAACGGGUGAGUAACACGUGAGUAACCUGCCCUUGACUCUGGGAUAACUGCUAGAAAUGGUAGCUAAUACCGGAUACGACCCUCGGAGGCAUCUCCAGGGGGUGGAAAGAAUUUCGGGCAAGGAUGGACUCGCGGCCUAUCAGCUAGUUGGUGAGGUAACGGCUCACCAAGGCGACGACGGGCAGCCGGCCUGAGAGGGUGACCGGCCACACUGGGACUGAGACACGGCCCAGACUCCUACGGGAGGCAGCAGUGGGGAAUAUUGCACAAUGGGCGCAAGCCUGAUGCAGCAACGCCGCGUGAGGGAUGGCGGCCUUCGGGUUGUAAACCUCUUUUAGUAGGGAAGAAGCGAAAGUGACGGUACCUGCAGAAAAAGCACCGGCUAACUACGUGCCAGCAGCCGCCGUAA